UGGGGAAUAUUGCACAAUGGGCGAAAGCCUGAUGCAGCGACGCCGCGUGAGGGAUGACGGCCUUCGGGUUGUAAACCUCUUUCAGCAGGGAAGAAGCGAAAGUGACGGUACCUGCAGAAGAAGCGCCGGCUAACUACGUGCCAGCAGCCGCGGUAAUACGUAGGGCGCAAGCGUUGUCCGGAAUUAUUGGGCGUAAAGAGCUCGUAGGCGGCUUGUCACGUCGAUUGUGAAAGCCCGAGGCUUAACCUCGGGUCUGCAGUCGAUACGGGCUAGCUAGAGUGUGGUAGGGGAGAUCGGAAUUCCUGGUGUAGCGGUGAAAUGCGCAGAUAUCAGGAGGAACACCGGUGGCGAAGGCGGAUCUCUGGGCCAUUACUGACGCUGAGGAGCGAAAGCGUGGGGAGCGAACAGGAUUAGAUACCCUGGUAGUCCACGCCGUAAACGGUGGGAACUAGGUGUUGGCGACAUUCCACGUCGUCGGUGCCGCAGCUAACG
RNAcentral lists this ribosomal RNA (492 nucleotides) under uncultured Actinomycetes bacterium. Its description in RNAcentral is "bacterial SSU rRNA". It matches the Rfam family "Bacterial small subunit ribosomal RNA", at positions 355 to 857 of the family's 1533-position model. The record is from RNAcentral. Lineage: Bacteria; Bacillati; Actinomycetota; Actinomycetes.